This 391-nucleotide unclassified non-coding RNA is filed under the name soil metagenome. RNAcentral's name for it is "partial contains 5.8S ribosomal RNA, internal transcribed spacer 2, and large subunit ribosomal RNA". The stretch from base 1 to 122 matches the Rfam family "5.8S ribosomal RNA", at positions 35 to 154 of the family's 154-position model. The record is from RNAcentral.
GAUGAAGAACGUAGCGAAAUGCGAUACUUGGUGUGAAUUGCAGAAUCCCGUGAACCAUCGAGUCUUUGAACGCAAGUUGCGCCCGAAGCCAUCAGGUUGAGGGCACGUCUGCCUGGGCGUCACAUAUCGUUGCCCAAUGCCUAUUGCAGUGCAAUAGGAAUUUCUAGGGCGAAUGAUGGCUUCCCGUGAGCGUUGUUGCCUCGCGGUUGGUUGAAAAUCGAGUCCUUGGUAGGGUGUGCCAUGGUAGAUGGUGGUCGAGUUAGAACGAUACCGAUCAUGUGCAUGCUCCCCAAAAUAUGGCCUCUAUGACCCACACGCGUCUUUUGACGCUCAUGACGAGACCUCAGGUCAGGCGGGGCUACCCGCUGAAUUUAAGCAUAUCAAUAAGGGA